AGAUGUGCCAACGUCAUUUCGUGGAAGCUCUGGGACGCGUGGGGCUCCCCCUGCCUUAGACGGGUUAAAUAGGUGAUAAUUGAUCGGGGAGUGGGGUGGAUUAAAAGAAAAAGAAAAAAGAAAGAAAAGAAAAGGAAAGAAAGAAGAAAGAAAGAAAGAAAGAAAGAAAGAAAGAAAGAAAGAAAGAAAGAAAAGCAGCAAUUGCUGGUUUUUCAGGAGCUGAAGUCAACAGUAUCAAGCAUGGCUCCUUUUGGCUUUUCCCAAAAUAAAAUUUUUGUGAGAUAGUGACCAGCCCUGAAGCAUUUAAUAUGGUUCCAUGAUGGACUGGACUCAAAUAUACAUUUUCUUAGGCUUCAUAAGUCUUUCAGGGUUUGCUCAUUAUAACGACAGUAAUCCUCAAUUUACAACCAUUUGUUAGCAACUAUUCAAAGUUACAACGGCACUGAAAAAGUGGCUUACAACCAGUCCUUACACUAAUGACCUUCGCAGCAUCCCCAUGGUUAGAUUAUCAAAAUUUGGGUACUUGGUAAUCACCAGGUGCAGUGUCCUGUGCGCAUGUGAUCUCCAUUUGCAAUCUUCCCACCUGGCCUCCAACAAAGUCAAUGGGAGAAGCCAGAUUCUGCACUUCCUGAGUAGUAACAAACAACAACCAUCAAAGCAGACUCAUGGAACUUGAAGAGCUGAAGAAACUUUCAUAGGUAUGCUCAUACACCAGCUAAAACAGUAGCUAAUAAGCAACAAUAGACCAAUAGAAGAAUUCAAAUUCAAAGAUCCAAGUUCUGACUACCACAACAUGGCUUCUAAGGUAGUUUUCCCAACCUGAACACAAUCUAAAUGUUAGACUUCAACUCCUACAAUUCUCAGCACAGGCAAUGUUGACUAUUCUGAAGGUUACAUGCUGAUUGUUGGAAGGUUGUAAUAAUACCUACAUAUCAAGGCUAGGUUUACCUAGCCAUUUUCCAAUGGGAUAUACAUCAUUGUUAGUUACAUUUUGCACAGGACAGCCUCUUACUAAACAUUUAGAAUUGGAAACAAUACAUUCAAAAUACAUUUGGAAUUCUACUACUAGCUAUUGCGCUGUUAUAGACAGAAACCGCAGAGAAAGAUCAGGAGGAGAAUCUGCUGAGUAACCAUUUUUCUCCCAUGAUCUUUUUAAAGGAUGUUAAACGUGUGUUUAAGUGGCUUGAAUGUUUUGCUUGAUAUUAUGACAAGCUUUUGAUAAAAGAGCCAGUCUGAAUAA
Molecule: long non-coding RNA, 1240 nt
Organism: Pantherophis guttatus
Lineage: Eukaryota; Metazoa; Chordata; Lepidosauria; Squamata; Colubridae
Source: RefSeq, a predicted model, not a curated record